UUCGUAGGUGGUGCGGCAAGUUGGGAGUGAAAUCUCUGGGCUUAACCCAGAGGCUGCUUUCAAAACUGCCGCGCUCGAGUGCGAGAGAGGUCAGUGGAAUUGCAGGUGUAGCGGUGAAAUGCGUAGAUAUCUGCAGGAACACCCGUGGCGAAGGCGGCUGACUGGAUCGCAACUGACACUGAGGAACGAAAGCUAGGGGAGCAAACA
RNAcentral lists this ribosomal RNA (207 nucleotides) under uncultured bacterium. RNAcentral's name for it is "partial 16S ribosomal RNA". It matches the Rfam family "Bacterial small subunit ribosomal RNA", at positions 568 to 774 of the family's 1533-position model. The record is from RNAcentral.